AGUUGCGUGGUUGUUGAUUGUCACUCUCAUUCCAAAAUAUACGAGUGAGUUAUCAUUAAUGCAAUUCGCAUUUGAGCUGCACGACGAGACGUUAUUUAUCUUAGCUCGUGAUUGCAGAUACUAGUAAGCCUGCAAGCGAAUUUCCUUGACAUUUGGCAUGUCGGUUGAAGUUUAGUGGAAUGGGAUAAAAUAACUCAAUAAAAAUUGGUGAAAGUCUGUGAAUUACAGAUGACGGAGUUCGUACAUUGCAGAAUGAAUUCUUAAUGUAAACGUACACAUGCUGGUUUCACACGUUGAAAAAAUAAAUAAACAUCAAUAUGUAACGUUGAACAUCACGGAAUCGACUAAAAAAGGAAAUUGAUAAGAUUCCAUCUUAUACAAGAGAUGCGGUUGAUCCAAAAAUAGAAUGUAACAUCGCUGGAUAACACAUUUGACAGCUAGCAGAGGGAUUGCAUCAUACUUUUGAUAAAUACGCAGAAUUUAUGAGCGUUUUGUGGUGAUUAUAACCUUCUAAUUUUAUAUCUAUUUGUAAGACUUCUAAACCAGCACGCCAAAAUAUUUGGCAUGAAAUACGAGUUGAAAAAUAUCAGGUGUUAGCUACGGCCACGGCCGUACAGUGAAUGUGCCUUGACGAUAAAUAAAGCUAUGUUGGUUUUUUUUUUUUAUUAUGGCGCGAAAAUAGCAAUUUUGCAUUUUGUAUCUGGAUAAAAACUGGUUCAGGAUGGUUUCAAUUAUGUUUCAUUAGCAAAUAUUGAU
Molecule: long non-coding RNA, 756 nt
Organism: Styela clava
Lineage: Eukaryota; Metazoa; Chordata; Ascidiacea; Stolidobranchia; Styelidae
Source: RefSeq, a predicted model, not a curated record